UACAGAGGGUGCGAGCGUUGUCCGGAAUCACUGGGCGUAAAGGGCGCGUAGGCGGUCUGGUAAGCGUGCGGUGAAAGCCCGGGGCUCAACCCCGGGUCGGCCGUGCGAACUGCUGGACUGGAGCUUGUCAGAGGCAGGCGGAAUUCCGGGUGUAGCGGUGGAAUGCGUAGAGAUCCGGAGGAACACCAGUGGCGAAGGCGACACGCUGGGCCGUACCUGACACUGAUGCGCGACAGCAUGGGGAGCAAACAGG
Molecule: ribosomal RNA, 253 nt
Filed under: uncultured bacterium
Lineage: Bacteria
Description: partial 16S ribosomal RNA
Rfam family: Bacterial small subunit ribosomal RNA
Source: RNAcentral